UGGGGAAUUUUGGACAAUGGGGGCAACCCUGAUCCAGCAAUGCCGCGUGUGUGAAGAAGGCCUUCGGGUUGUAAAGCACUUUUGUCCGGGAAGAAAUCGCACCUGAUAAUACCGGGUGUGGAUGACGGUACCGGAAGAAUAAGGACCGGCUAACUACGUGCCAGCAGCCGCGGUAAUACGUAGGGUCCAAGCGUUAAUCGGAAUUACUGGGCGUAAAGCGUGGGCAGGCGGUUGUGCAAGACCGAUGUGAAAUCCCCGGGCUUAACCUGGGAAUUGCAUUGGUGACUGCACGGCUAGAGUGUGUCAGAGGGGGGUAGAAUUCCACGUGUAGCAGUGAAAUGCGUAGAGAUGUGGAGGAAUACCGAUGGCGAAGGCAGCCCCCUGGGAUAACACUGACGCUCAUGCACGAAAGCGUGGGGAGCAAACAGG
This 429-nucleotide ribosomal RNA is filed under the name Bacillota bacterium. Its description in RNAcentral is "Firmicutes bacterium partial 16S ribosomal RNA". It matches the Rfam family "Bacterial small subunit ribosomal RNA", at positions 355 to 776 of the family's 1533-position model. The record is from RNAcentral. Lineage: Bacteria; Bacillati; Bacillota.